ACGAUCAACGAGGAGUUCUCAUACUCAUGUCACAUGAGAACUCAUGGUUGGGAUAAUGCAAAGUAGUCCUUGAAGGAAAUUUUUUUGUCCUAGCUAAGAACAAGUAUGAACAUUUGAAUACACAUGCAAGCUAUUAACACUUUAAAGUAGGCAUGCAUCCAAAAACAAUUCAUAAAACCCAUGACUUUCAAAGCCUAGUAUAUGGUGAACCAAAAUAAACUCUUUAACAACAUUAAAGAGAAGUAAAGAUUUAGUGAUUCUUUACCCUUGAAGCUCAUCCUUGAUUACACAAGGGAUUCACCCAAGUGGAGGGCCUUCAAGUCACCUCCAAGCUCCUUGAAUCCUUCUUGUGUUUUCCUCCCUUUAGUGCUCCUUUGAUGAUUUGAGGAAAAAGGAUUUGUUCUCCAAAACACCAAAAGCUUGAUGUCUCUAAGUCUCUUCACCAAGGUUGUAUCUUGUGAAGAUGAUAUGGAUGACUAAGGGAAGAAGAGAUUGCUAGAUGUCCCUCCCCUUAGUGGCCGGCCUCCUUAGAAGAAAAUGGAGAAAAUGUUUCACCCAAUUUCAACAAGAAAAAACCCUAAUGAGAAAAUAGCUAUAAAGUUGCUUUUAUAACAUUUUCUUUGGUGAGUGGCAAACUUGUAAUUAAGCAAACUUUGCCCAUCCACCCUAAUGGCCGGCCCUCCUUGGUGUUAUUGGGCUAUUUGCCCAUUUUGUUUUAGUUGUCAUACAACUUAAACAUAAUGGGCCUUGUGGACCAAAACGCUUUUGGGCCCCGAAACCCAAAACCAACAUAUAAGCCCAAUACGAACCUUUCGUAAAAUUAAUUAACUAAUUAAUUAAUCUUGACCAUUCUUCAAUUAAACCAUUUAAUUGCUUAUCCAUUUCAUAUAAUUUCUUCACAUACAUCCUUACUCGGUGUACGAUCCAUUAGGUUCCAAUUAGCGAGGCAGUGGGCGAUGUUACUCUUAACUAUCGAUUGUGAAUUGAAACCACAUUUCAAUUCUCCCUUUAAUGAUUAGUGUUACCUAAUCAUUUGGGCUUCCACAAACCAUGAGUGACACCUAGCAGUAUGUCAUGGUUACCCAAGCUAAGUAGAAUUGGUUGGAGAACCUAUCCAGUUACAACUACAAUGCAAUACGGUCCUUCUCUAAUACAAUACUCUUAAUCACAUUGUUUAAGUGAUAGUUUGUUUUAUGUCUACUAUCCAAUGUGAUACUUUCCUAUAUGAUUCCUUUGAAUAUGAUUUGGAACAAACUUCCUAAGUCAUAUUCAUUUGCUUUGGCCAAAGACUUUAGAAUCAUAUCUUAGAGUAUUCUCCCUCCACCAUGGAAGGUUAGAGAUCCCUUGUUGUACAUUCAUAUGCCUACAUGACUAGAUAGCUUGACCCCAACAAUGCCGUGGACACUCCAAAGGAAUGCCGUUGACAUGAUCAAAGAUCAAGGACCUAACCAUUAGACAUCGAUGAUGCCUCAGGUCAAAGGACUACUUUGCAUAUUGCAACUUUAGAGUUCAUACAUGACAUGUAUGUUCGAACUCUCUUUUGAUCGUCGUUCAGUGUACUCGAUUACCUUUUUCGAGCACCUAUGUGUUUGUCUUAGUGUCCAACACCAAAUGACUUGAGACUAGUUCAUACUCACGUUUGAGUCAACAUAACACAUACUAACCUUAGCGGAUUGUCAAUGCCCAAUUGGCAAUCCUAUGACUAGGAACGUUUUAGGAAUGAACAUAAGAGAAUGGUCUCGAUAAUCUAACUCACUUAGAUCACUUGUCUCUUAGAUCAAAUACAUCCCUUGGAUUCCCUUAUUACUUAAACACAUGAUACAAUAAAUAGUGAUUAACAAUAAGCUUCGCCCUUCAUUAAACAUAUAAAAGUUUAACACAAUAAGUAUUCCAAAAAGCUAUUACAUCAAAUGAGUGGCUUUGUGGGCAUACUUCCAACAAUCCUUUGACUUGAGGCAUCAUAGUUGUCUUGUGGUUAAGUCCUUGAUCUUCGAUUAUGUCAAAGUCACUCCAUCAGGAGGGUGUCCACGGCAUCGUCGGGGUUAAGCCAUUUAGCCAUGGAGGCAAGUGAAUGCGCAACAAGGGAUCUCUAACCUUCAAACCGUUUGGGGGAGAAUACUCUAUGAUAUGAUUAAGAAUCUCUGGCCAGAGUAUGAAUGAGAUUUAGGAAGUCGUUCCAAAUCACAUUCAAGGUAAUCAUAUAAGCACACGAAUCACAUUGGAUAGUAGACAUGAAUAAACUAUCAAACCAAACAAUGUGGUCAAGAGUAUUGUAUUAGAGAAAGACCGUAUUGCAUUUGUAAUCCUAAAUUGAAUAGGUUCUCCACCUCUUCUGAUUAGCUUGGGUAACCAUGAUAUGCUGCUAGGUGUCACUCAUGGUUUGUGGAAGCCCUAAACGUGUAUAAUCACUAAAGGGAGAAUUGAAAGUAAGUUUCAAUUCACAAUCGAUUUGAAAUGGUUUUAAUCGCCCACUGCCUCGCUAAAAGGAACCUAAUGGAUCGUACACCAAGUAAGGUAGAGAUUGAAGAAAAAUCGGAGAUGAGUAAGAAUAAUUAAAUGGUUUAAUUAUUUAUGGCAAGGAUUAAUUAAUAUGUUAAUUAAUCAAACGAAAAAGUUCGUUAAAGAACUCGGGAUAGUUUUGGACCUUAAGGCCCAAUGGGCUUCGAACGUCAAGUCCAUUGACUUAAGUUGUAUGACAACUUAAUGAAUAAUGAUUCACAAAGGCCCAAAUAGCCCAAUGAAUCCCUAUGGCCGGCCAUUUAGAGAUGGAGUGGGUUUUGGACUUAUUUACAAGUUUGCCACUCCAAUGAAUUAAGGUAUAAAUAUGACUUUAUAGCCAAAAUUCAUUUAGGGUUUCUUUUAGAGAAUUGGAAAGAACAUAUCUCUCCCUUUUCUCUCUAAGAGGCCGGCCACCCUUGGAGGGAUUAGCUAGUAAUCUUUCUCCUCCAAGGUCACUCAUCUCUUCUUCACAUCUGACCUUGGUGUGGAGACUUAGAGGUUCUCAAUUUUGGGAACUUGGAGAAACCUAUUCUUUCAUCCAAAUCCAUGGAUCUAAGAAGCAAGGAAUGAAGGCCCUCUUCUUGGGUGAUUAGCCUUUGCUUAUGCAAAGAGGAAUCUACAAAGGUAUAAAUUUCUUAACUCACUUUGAUUUGAGUUGAGUCUUGGUUCACCAAUCUACUAGGCUUUGAAUUUCAUGGUUAAUGUUUUGUUUUUAAGUGCAUACAAGCAUGAUUCCGCCUUUAAUUGUUAAUUGCAUGCUAAUAGAUGUUGCUUAAAUGAACAUGUUUUUCACAAAAUUUCCUUCAGUUUUGGUUUUUUUUUUUUUUCAAAUCUUGGUGGUUGGAUUUUGAGAUCAAGGCUAUGAGUGGGUUUGGGUUUCAAAUCUGCAUCGGGAAGGGGGGCAAACGGAGUUUCCCACAAGCAUGCUUGCAGACUAGCAACGUUCAUACGACUUGCAGAUAGUUCUGAAAACAUGACUAGCAAUCCCAUGGUUUUUCAGGGGUUUCGCCAAGACCGGCUAAUCCUGUGAUUAGUCGAGGCGAGUGAAGGUUAGUGCCAUUAAAGUUAGUCCAAUGGGUAACAAACAUGGGACUGAACUAACCCUUAGUCAAGUCCAGUCCAGUGAGAUCAAAGGGAAACAAACACCCCCUAAGUGUUUUUGAAUCCAUCCUUUACAAGGGGACAUGCAUUCUACGAAACAAGUUUCUAUGAUCCAACCGUUCUACAUGUUUCUAUAUAUUUUGAGAUCUCCUACACCAAAAAUCACCCAAAAAAAGUUUAGAGAUUAGUUAACUAGAUAAAAUCAUUCGACGGUUAAAAUGAAAAAUAAUGAUUUAAUGAUCGUUUUAGCUUCGAUUUUGUUAAUUUGUUACAAAUACAUUCCUCAACCCUGGAAGAAUAAGAUGAAUGAACCUGAAUCAUCAAUUUAAAAUAUUUAAAGUAGUGGAUACAACAAAAAAAUUUGUUCUACUUAAUAUAAAUAUCGAAUAAACUCUUUUAAGCAUUUUAGAAUCCUUUACAAAGGGACACGCAUUCUACGAAACUAGUUUCCACGAUCCAACCAUCAAACAUGUUUGCAUAUACAUCGAGAUCUCCUAUGCCAAAAAAAUAAUGUUCGGAGAUUGGGUAACGGGACGGAAUCAUUCGACGGUUAUAAACGAAAAAAUCACGAUUAAAGGUCAUUUAGCUUCGAUUUUGUUGAUUGUUUACAAAUACAAUCCUAAACACCCCAGAAGAAUAAGAUGAAUGAGCCUGAUCAUCAAUUUAAAAUAUUUAAAGUCGUGGAUACAAAAAAAAAUGACAUUCUACUUAAUGGAAAUACAAAACAAACUCUUUAGUGUUUUGGAAUCCAUUCUUUACAAGGGGACACAUAUUCUCUUAAACUAGUUUCCAUGAUCCAACCCUCAAAUAUGCUUGCAUAUAUUUCGAGAUCUCCUAUGCCAAAAAUCACGCAAAAAAUGUUCAUAGAUUAGGUAGCAAGACAAAAUCAUUCAAACGUCAAAAUAGAAAAAUCACGAUUAGCUUGGAUUUUGUUUAUUUUUUUUACAAAUACAAUCCUUAACCCUAGACAAAUAAGAUGAAUGAACUUGAUCAUCAAUUUAAAAUAUUUAAAAGGGUUUUUUUUUUAUCAAAAAUGGUCCUUGAAAUUAACCAUCAUCAUGAAGAUGGUCCUUGAAAUUGAAAAUUAAUCAACGUUGUCCCUAAAUAGGUUUUGCAAAUCAAUGUUGUCUUCUCAUUACAAUUAUGUUAAAACUUUAGUUAAGUGCUGAUAUGACACAUAAAUGGGUCCUAUAAGUUUUUUUUUCUCACAAAUGAUCGUUGAAAUUGACCGACGACAUCAAAAUGGUCCUUGAAAUUGACAUGCGACAUCAAAAUGGUCUCUGACUUGAAAAUUUAUCAAUGUAGUCCCGCAAGUAAGUGUCCUAAAUCAAUAUAGUCCUUCCAUCACAAGUCUGUCAAAAAUUUUGUUAUAUGCUAAUGUGACACAUGAAUGGAUAACACAAGUCUAAUUAAAUUAAAAAAAAUUACAAAUUGGUUUAAUAAUUCAAUGGUUAAUAAAAAGUUGUGAACUAAAAACCUAGUCGUGCAAUAACCUCUGAUCCUAUUCCACAUUUCUCUACCUCAUUCACUGUCUAUUCUCUAUAAAAAAAUCUCAAUGCACCCAUCUUUACACACUUCGACACCCUUCACCGAAUUGAACCUGGAUCAAGAUCACCUUUGGUGACGGAUUGGAUGAUUGGCAACGACUUCUGGGAGAUCACAUUUAACAUUUAGGCAAUUAACAUCCUCACAACCUUAAUCUUGCAGAGCUUGUUCGGUGCUUCCUUGGUAGUCUGAUGACUCAAAGAACGACGAUGUCUGUCUGUCUUAAGAUAAUGAGGUUAUGACCGAGGUGCAUCUAUUAUUGGUUGAAAACUAUUUCCAAAACCCCUCUUAGGCCUUGGUUAAGGGUUGGUUUGGUAUUGUUAUGCUUUGAAAAGAAACUGCUUCUGCUGUACUGCGAGAAUAAACAGCUAUGAAAUAAAGUAGUAGAGUGUUUGGUAAACUUUUUUUGUAAAAGUGCUUUUAGCAAAAAAAAAUAAUGUUCAAGUGUUUGAUAAAUUUUUAUGUAAAACCGCUACGAUUGUAUAAAAUGAUUAAAAAAGAUAUGAUGUUGAAUAUUAUAUAAUAAUUUUUUAUCUUUUCUUUUAUUAUGACAUUUAUAAGAUUUAUAUAAACUAUUUAUAAACAGUUGUGAGCUUUGAAGAAUGUACUUUUACUUUUUUUUAAGGUAUUUAUAAUUUUUUUAUUCUAUUCUUUUCUUUAAGAGUCGUUUCUUCAUUACUUUUUCCCUAUUUUAUUUUUGCACAACCUUUGUAUAUUCUAUCUUCCGCCGCUCACUCCCUCUUUCCCCCUUCUCUUUCUAUCUCUCUCUGCCUGAUCCUAAGGAAGGCUAGGUCGUGGGGAAAGGAAGGCUAGGUCACAUCAACCAAUUAACAGAAGAUGAAUGAACUCUGAUUUCAAGACUUACCGUCUGUAUUAGCGGCGAAGGUGUCAACGCUUCACAUUGAGAUUUUGGGUGUCAAACAGAAGGGUGCAAAUCUAGUAUUCUUUAUGUAAUGAGAGUUUCAAGAUGGUGGUGGUGGCGUUGAAAAACUCCACCGGAGUUGGUUGAAAUCAGCUUUGGAAAAUGGGUGAUCACACAGGUUGUUUUGGGUUGAAAGGCUAACAGGAAUGGAGGGGAAAUAUCCCUCUUUUUCCUGAUUUCCUACUGCCUUCUUUCUCCAAUUUUGAUUGGUUGCUUGUCCUUUAAUUGCAUUGGUCCUUUAACCUUUUAACUUGAUUGGUUAGUCUUCCCACAAGGUGGGAGUUAAUUUAAUUAAAACUAAACUUUGAAUAACCAAUUUCGAAUGUCCAAAAUUGUCACAUCCUUGCCCGGGUUGACCACAUCCCUGGCUCGACUCCGCUGUAGUACGAUAUUGUCCGCUUUGGGACCCAACCAUGCCCUCACGGUUUUGUUUCUGGGAACUCACACGAGAACUUCCCAGUGGGUCAACCAUCAUGGGAUUGCUCUCGCACGAACUCGCUUAACUUCGGAGUUCCGAUGGAACCCGAAGCCAGUGAGUUCUCAAAAAGCCUCGUGCCAGGUAGAGAUGGGAAUAUACAUAUAAGGCUUACAUGAUCCAUUCCCUUGGGCGAUGUGGGAUGUUACAAUCCACCCCCCUUAGGGUCCUCGUCGACACACUUCCAACCAGGGAUUGGCUCUGAUAUCAAAUUGUCACAUCCCGGCCCGGGCCCACCACAUCCCAGGCUCGACUCUGCCGUAGCAUGAUAUUGUCUGCUUUGGGACUUGACCAUGCCCUUACAGUUUUGUUUCUGGGAACUCACACAAGAACUUCUCAAUAGGUCACCCAUCAUGGGAUUGCUCUCGUGCAAACUCGCUUAACUUCGGAGUUCCGAUGGAACCCGAAGCCAGUGAGUUCCCAAAAGGCCUCGUGCUAGGUAGAGAUGAGAAUAUACAUAUAAGGCUUACAUGGUCCAUUCCCCUGGGCGAUGUGGGAUGUUACAUUCACCAUCAAGACAUACGCAUCUCUUUUAAAUACUGGUGUCCGUAUAGUUUGGUGUCAGUUCGACGUGCUUAUACUCUUACGAAUAUAAUCAGCAUGACUGAACCCAGCACCGAUGAUCCGUGAACUUCGCAAGCCUAGUAGCCUUCUCUUCAGGCUCUAGAACCCGAAGGUCAAGACGUGUUCCUUCCUCGAUCGCAGUCGCAAGAUCGAGAAGUCAACAGCGUGCUCAACGCAACAUUAACAUAUUUUACUCCCCGACUGAGCUCGGCCAACGAGUUGCCACGCCCCACACACAAUCGAAUGAUGUAGUUAGCUUAUUAAUUACUCGGCCUGCGCACCACAUAAGCUUGGUAGUUUUUAGGAUCAACAUUUUGGCACACCCAGUGAGACAUAGUGCUAAAACCACGAAGUUCAUGACCAUUGAGACACGAUCGGUUAAAAAGAAAAUAGUCAUGAGAAAGUGCACGACCAAUCUUCCAGUCCAAAACCCAAGACCAGAUGACUUGUCACAAGCACAUAAUCUUCCUGUUGCUUGAUGCAAAAAUUAACUUAACACACAAAUUAAACCAUCUUUUGACAAUUGUAGUAUAUUUAUAAGUAGGUUUUCUAGGCAGGGGAUUAGGAGGGAUUGCUAAUUGAUUCUAAACUGACUUAAAGACACAAAAACAAACUUAAAAAUGAUAGGAUAGAUUCAAAAAACUCAAAACUAGUUCACAAGACUCAAAAUAAGAUAAAAACACUCAAAACUGCCUAAAAACACCAACUAGGCAGUUUCUAACACUAAACACAAUUUUGGAUGAAUGUAAGGUUUGGGCUUGACUCAAAACACUUAAAAACACAAACAAAACAAGUUUAAAACAAUUUGAAACAAGAAAGUAAAUGGGGGUUUUGUUUUGGAUGAAUUUAAAAUAACAAAACAGAUUGUAAUUUAAAAACAGGUUUGUAGACAAUUUUAGGAAAUUAGAUGGAUGAUGGGAUAGCUAGAGGCUUUUCCUCCACAUAUGACAUGUAUGCAAACGACUCGAUUUCCAGUUACUACUUCAUUGAAUUAUGAACGACAAUGCCUCAAAUUAACCGUGACAUCACUAGUUAACCCUCAGAUUUUCCUUGUUUUAUUGGAUUGGAUGACAUCAUUCGACAACCCAAAGUAUUCUUCAAAAGUUCCCUACAUGACAUCAUAAUAGAGAUACGAUCAAAGAUCAUUACGUUCAAUGAAAAUCAUAAGCAUUGAUAAAGCACUUGCAACUAUGACAUCAUGUCACUCAUGCUAGGAAGUAAACUUAACGCGAUCGUGAUCAACAACCUUCACUACAUAUGAAUAUAAGUUUGUAACGAUUAUGUGAAACUUCCUUAUAUUCUAGCAUCGGAUUUAUGCAUGCCAAUUAACACUAUGUUUGGAUGAAGAAAUUUAAGAUUACUAAGGAAUUUUAAAAUGAUGGAAAUUGAAAUGAAGGGAUUUUAUUUUCUAGAAUUUGUGAAUGUUGUUGUUUGGUUAACUUAAAAGACCAAUGGAAUUGAAAACGGAAUUUGUUAAUUUUAAGCUCCCAAUCAUAGAAAUUGGGAAAUGACACCUAUUUACAUGGAAUUUAAACUUGGAAAUUGGAGGCCCCAAAUUCCAAGUUUUUUUCCAUGCAGAAAUUCUAAAUUUCUAUGUUAUAAAUCCAAACAAGGGAAUUGGUGCAUGUCAAUUUAUAAAUUCUGAUCCAAAUUCCAAGUUUAUUUCCCUCAUCCAAACAGACCAUAAGUGUCGACCCACAAUUAACAAACACAAAUAAGUUAUCAAUUAAGCAGUUAAGCCAAUUGCAUUCACGAUUCAAGAAUUCAUAACUGGAAUUUAUCAACUCAUAUUGCACACAUAAUGAUAGGAGCAUAUUUAUGCGACUUAGUUGGCUUGUUCUUAAGCAUUUAUGUUGUUUUUCUUUAGUUAUUUUAGUGUUUAAAGUCAUUUUCGUGCAAUUUUAGGUUUAGAGACGAAGUAUGCAAGAAGUGCAAAAUGGAGCAUUUUAGAGCAAAAUUGAGCUAGAAUGGAGUGUAUGCUAAUGGAGCACAAGGAAUGGACGAGUUUGAAGGUCAAAGGAGCUUAAGAAAUGAAGAAAUGAAAGUGAAGAACAAAGAAUUCAGAUUUGGAAACCAAAGUUUCUAAAGUUGGAAGUUUCUAUUCUUGGAGGUUUCCAUUUUCGAGAGUUUCUAUUCUUGGUUUUGGGCUUUUAGAUGACCUAAACCCUAAUUCCUUGUGGACCCUAACCCUAGCCGCACCUUAGGCCUUAUUCCCACUAAAAAUCUGAUUGUUUUAACCUAAUUUCUGGUGGAUUUGGGCUUCUAGAAACCCUAAUCUGAUUACCCUAGGGUUUUGGAUGCCUAUAUAUACUCAUUAUAACCCCUAGAUCAGAUCACCACCUCUCAUACACAAUCAUUCACGCCAGAAAUCUGCCCUUGCAUUCUGCCGCACCUUCCCAUCACCAAAAUCCCAAAAUUCUGCCCAAAAAUCAUCCCUAGCCGUACCCCCAUCAACCCUAAACCUUUCCCUACCAUUCCCCAUCCAUUCUACACCCUAAAUACCACCCAAAACCUAUCCUAAACUUUUCUGCCGCAGCAAGGAGGAAAGGGAAAUCAUUGAUGAUCUUGCUGCCAAGUUGGAGCCUUCUAGGUGUUUUCUUUCUUUGGGUUUUAAUUUCUAAAUUUAUGUAUCUUUGCUUUGCAAGUAUGAGGAACUAAACCCCCCUUGGCUAGGGGGGGGAUUCGAAACCAUGUUUAUGCUUGCUAUAUGAUUUGAUUACUUCUAAUUGCGUUUCAUAAGUUGUGAUUUCAAUUUGCUUAUCUAUGUGAAUUAAAACUUAUUCUUGUAUGUUGAUUGAGGGUCGACACUUAGUUUGCAUGCAUGAAUUUGAUGCUAGGAUAUAAGGGAAUUUCACCUAAUCGUUAUGAACUUAUAUUCACAAGUAGUAAAGGUUGUUGAUCACAAUCGUGUUAAGUAAAUUCUUGGCAUAAGUUUCAUGCAAUUCAUAGUUACGAGUGCCUCGUCAAUGCUUAUGGUUUUCAUAGAACUUAAUGAUUCUUGCUUGUAUCUCUAUUAUGCAAUCAUGUAGGGGACUUGUGGGGAAUGCUUUGGGUUGUCGUAUGCAAUCAUCCAAUUCAAUAACGUUAGGAAAAUCUGAAGGUUAAUUUAAGCGGACCUAAUUAACUUGGGGCGUUGAGAAUUCAUGGGUUAUUGAAAAGCAAUUGGAAAUCGUUUUGAAUGCAAGUAUAACAUGUGUGGAGAUGAACCCCUUAGCUAGCUUUCCAUCCAUUCAUUUAAAUCAAAUUCGUUUUAAAAUCUGUUUUGAUUUACAAGUUUAUGUUUUGUUUUCAAUUUCGUAAAAACCAAAUCCCCCUUUGUUUUCAAGUGUCAAAUUAGUUAGAGAGUGUGUUAGUUUGUGUUUUUAAGUGUUUUGAGUCAAGUUAAAACCUAUUUUCGUCAAAAUCUUGUUUAGAGUUCAAAACUGCCCAGAAAGUGGUUUUAAGGCAGUUUUGAGUGUUUUUGUGUUAUUUUGAGUCUUUUGGUUUGUUUUGGUGUUUUAAGUUAUAGUUUUACAUUCUUUGAGUCUAGUUUAGUGUUUUAAACUUUGUUUUUACGUUUUUGAGUCAGUUUUCAAGUGAUUUAGCAAUCCCUCCUAAUCCCCGGCCUAGAACGAUCCCUACUUACAUACUUACUACAAUUGAUAAAAAGAGGGUUAAUUUGAGUGCUAGUUAAUAUCAUAUCACAUAAUCAUGGCUUUGAAAUCACCCCUAGCCAAGAAGGGUUUAGCCACUCAUGUUCACAGCAAAACAAAAGAAAAAAAAUUAAACAUUGUAAAUAUAGAACGAAUUACACCUAGAAUGCUUCAACAAUCAAGCUUGAACAUCCAAGAGUACUCCCUUCUUUCUUUACUCACGGCACAAGGUUUGGUGUAAGGUUUGGGUGGUGAUUUGUAUGGAAAAAUGGCUGAGAAGAUGAAGGGAUGUGUAUGGAUGAAGGUUAGAUGCGGCAAGUGAUGGUUUGAUGUGUUUUUGGUUGUGUUAAAUGGUGGUGGAAGAUGGAUCAAAAUCUGAACACUUACGGCUGUUACACACACUUCCUUUUAUAGAAGGAGUGCACUGCUUAGGGAAAGAAAAGGGAGUGGAAUGGUGCAGCAAUGAUUCCAUGAAAUGGUGCAGAAAUGAGUGCAUGAAGUGGACAAGGAUGGUGUGCACGGCAUAGGAAAGGAAAGUGGAGUGAUGGUGCAACAAUGAGUGCAAGGUGAUAGGAGCAUAUUUAUGCGACUUAGUUAGCUUGUUUCUUGGCAUUUAUGUUGUUAGUACGUAGUUAUUUUAGUAUUUUAAGCUAUUUUCGUGUGUUUGUAGGUCCAAAGGGUUAAUGUGGCAAAGAAGUGCAUUUUGGAGCAUUUUGGAGCAUUUUUUGGCAUGGAAUGGAUAACAUAUGCUUGGAGCAAAAGGAAUGGACAAAAUUUGAAGUUUGUGCAUCAUCCUCUCCCUAUAAAUAACAAUUUUAGCACACUCAUUUCACCCCACACAUCCAUUCACCUACCACUACAUCCACUCAUUUCACCCAACACAUCCAUUCUCCAAACAUUCAUCCACUACACCCAUUACAUCCACCCACUACACCCAUUACAUCCACUCAUUACCAAAUGUCCACCCACUACACCCAUUACAUCCACUCAUUACCAAACAUUCAUCCACUACACCUAUUACAUCCACUCAUUACCACAACACUCACCCACUACACCCAUUACAUCCACUCAUUACAACUCCAUACACUCCUCUCCCUAGCCCAUAAAUACAUCCACCCUUCACCAUAAUUUGGGGGACCAUCAUCCAAAGACACCACAUCAUCUACACAACUCUCCACCAUUCACCAUAACUCACCUAUAUCCAUCCACCACCACAAGAGACCAUCCAUUCACCACUCACACCUUGGUGCCGCAUAUUUGCAAGGAAGGAGGAUUGCUUAGAGUUGUGCUAGUCAUUCAAUUUGGAUUGCUGGAGCAUUCUAGGUGUAUUCUACUUUGGUUUUCAAUAUUUAAUUUCAAUUGUUUCUGUUUAAUUGCAAGUAUGAGGAACUAAACCUCUUUUGGCUAGAGGAGAAUUCGAAACCAUGAAUAUAUUUGCAAUAUGAAUUGAUUUCUUCCAAUUGUGAUUUGAUAAGUUGUGAUUGCAAUUCAAUUAUCUAUUUUAUUCAUAACGGAUUUGUGUAUGUUUAUUAAGGAUGCAUACUUAGUUUUCAUGCAUGAAUUUGAUGCUAGGAUAUAAAUAAGUUUCACCUAAUCGUUACAAGUUUAUAUUCCUGAAUGGUGAAGGUUGCUUGUCACAAUCGCGUUAAUUGAAUUCUUGGCAAACGUAUCAUGCAUUCAUAGUUACAAUUGCCUCGUCAACGCUUAUGAUUUUCAUGGAACUUAAUGAUCUUUAAUUGUAUCUCUAUUAUGCAUUCAUAUAGGGGACUUUUAGAGAAUGAUUUGGGUUGUUGCAUGCAUUCAUCCAAUUCAAUGAGUAUAGGGGACUUUUAGAGAAUGAUUUGGGUUGUUGCAUGCAUUCAUCCAAUUCAAUGAGUAAAGGAAAAUCUGAGGGUUAAUUUGUGCAUCACGGUUAAUCUGGGGUGUUGAGCAUCAUAGUUUAUUGAAAAGCAAUUGGAGAUUGAUUUGUAUGCAAGUGUGUCAUGUGUGGAGAAAGACCUUCUAGCUAGCUCAUCAUCCAUCCAAAACAACCAAUUUCGUGCAAAUCUGUUUAGUUCUAGUUUCUGUUUUGUUUUACUUUAUUUCCGUCCAAAACCCAAUCCCCCUUUACUUUAGUGUGUCUAAUUAGUUAGAAUCGGUUUUAGUUUGUGUUUUUAAGUGUUUUGAGUUUAUAGAGUCUAGUUAAGUGUUUUUAAGUUUCUUUUUGUAAGUCGGUUUAGUUUAGAUUAGCAAUCCCUCCUAAUCCCCGGUCCAGAACGAUCCCUACUUAUACAGAUACUACAAUUAUCAAAAGAGGGUUUAAUUUGAGUGCUUAACUCUCAUCGCAUCAAAUUUUGGCGUCGUUGCCGGGGAUUAGCAACUUUGCUAAUCCCCCGUUGUUUCUUUUUUAUGUCUUUUUUUUUAGUUACUGACUUUGUUUCUUUUUGUGUCUUUUAUUUUUACUUAUGAUAUUUGCUUUAGUUUUGUUUCCUUGAUUUCAAGUACUAGAGAAGCAAGACAUGGAUUUUGCUACCAUUCAAGCUCAAUUGGCGAAACUUACUUCUCAAUUGUCACAAGAUGCCGAAAGGGCCACAAUGCAAAGUGUCCCUACAGAUGGUGUGUCUUAUGGGCAAGGAUAUCCAACUCAUCAAUGUUCUCAAUUAGCUGCAAAUGAAGAUGCUUGGGGUUAUUAAGGUCAUAGCCAAUCAGGGGACAACAUGUUUUCCAACGCUUACAAUUCAAAUUGGAAAGAUUAUUCAGAUUUCAUGUGGGGAGAACCUCAACAAUUCCAACAAGAUGGGUAUUGGCAGCAAGAAGGGGAAUUCUAUUCAAGACCUAUGCAGCCACCAUAACAAUCUGCCCAAUUCAAUUCAGGUACGUCUUUGGAUAAUGAUAUGUUUAAUAAGUGACUCACCUCUUUGAACCAGGAAGUAGAAAAUGGAAACAAAGAGAUGCAAAAUCAAGCCAAGAAGACGGGAGAAUUGGAUAAGCAAAUUGGGCAGAUUAUGGAGUUCAUGGCAUAAAUUCAAAAGCAAAGUGAACUCUCCAACUCAACUAUUGAAAAUUUGAAGGAAGAUUUUGAAAUCCAUGAUGUUAUCACUUUGGGAAGUGCUACGGAGGUUGGAGGUGAACCCAAGACAUCCAAACCAAGCCAAAACAUGGAUAAAUAGUUGCUGCUCGAAGAAGAGGGGAAUAACAGGGCCACGGCAAGGGAAGAACCACCCUUGCCGCAGCCCCAUAUGCCCUCUAUGCCGUCCACUACAACCAAGGUAAGCCUAAAUUCAAUUUUUCCUGACCCCGUUUCACCAAAUAUCCUUAUUCCUUGCAGGAUCAUGCAAUCCAAGGAAGAAGAGGGUGAGAAAGGCAUCUUUGAAACCUUUUCAAAGACUCAAGAGCAAGAAGUGGAUGGGGAAUGUCUAGAAUUCAUCAAAGAAGAUACACUUGAGACGAAAAUUCCCAAAUAGGUUGGAUUUUAUGACACGGGACAAGUCAUAACUCUCAAAACACCAAAUCUAGCCAAGUCCCAUAUCCCUGCAAUCUUCAAAGAUGUGGCGUUUGUAAUUAAGUUUGUGUUGGAGCAAGCAAGUAAGCCAUCUUCUCCACCUUUGAUUUUAUUAUAUACUAACUUGCUGAUUUUGAUGAUUCAGGCACCUACACUAGAAUUUAAACCAUUGCCGGAUCACGUCAAGUAUCACCGUCCAUUCAAGGAUCAAUUCCAUGCUAUGGACCCUAUCCAAGUUUAGAAGGAAGUUUCGUCCGGCUGGAAGACGUUAAAGCAAGCGCUUCUUGGGAGGCAACCCAUGUAUUCAAAUAAGGAAGAUUUUUGAAUUGCUCCACAAUCAGUGUUGCGUUUCUAAAAACCUUCCCUUUUUCGCAGUUUUAUUUUGCCAUGAUUAUCAUUUUUAUUUGUUGCUUGUUUAAUUGUUUUUGGUGUGGGUUUAUUUUUGAAACACUGACAAUUAUGCAAGGUACUUUUAUAUUCAUAAAAAAGAAAGGAACAUUAAGCAGAUAAAUACAAAAGGGAGCCUUCACAAAGGCUGCUUAGGAGAAGUCUCAGCAGUCGGCGGAGCCCCAGAAGGAGGAGGCAUCGGAGGUUGAUCAUUUGGAGCUUUAUUACGCGGUAUAGCCCCAGAAGACGAAGGCAAAUCCUGUUGGAACAAACCCACAAACCUCUGAUGAUCAAGUAAAAUCUAACCAUCAGAUUCCUGCAUCUGGUCAAUCUUCCUCUUCAUGUUUGUAGCAUAAUUAUGGGCGAGCCUGUGCAGCUAUUUAUUCUCAUGCUUAAGCCCUCUAAUCUCCUGCUUGAGACUCAUCACUUCAGCCGCCAAUGAUUUAACUUGACGGGUUCGGGUAAAUAGGCAUUGGGCCAUAUUAGACACGGAACCUGCACACUGCACACUAAGAGCUAAAGAAUCCUUAACAAUCAACUCAUUAGACCGUUUGGUAAGUAGUCUGUUAUCUUUGGGAGUGACAAGGUUCCUGGCCACCACCGCAGUUGUCAUAUCAUUCUUCAUCACCGAAUCCCCAACGGUAAGGGGACCAAUAAGAGAUAUGAAGGAUGGGCGCCAUAUGUUGUCUGGAAAAGGCGGGACUGCCUCUUCACGAAGGUUUAAGUCAAAACGACUGUCGGAGGGGCCAGACAUUUUCAGAGGUGUUAAAGAAAUAAGAGGUUGGACAAGUCAAGAUCGUAGAAGUGCAAGAAGGGAGUUUUUACAGGCAGAAAUUCAAGUGUGCUUUAAACGUCCUGCGUACCUCUAUAAAAAUCAUCACUCGAUGGGAUUUCAGAGAUCGAAGAGGCGAGCUCAGAAAUCGAAGAGGCCAACUCAAAAAUCAAAGAGGCGCUAGCUUUCUCAAAAGCUAGGCUUGCUCAGAAACCACGACCAAUCUUCUUUUCCAGAUUUGUCCGCACUUGUCACAUGCAACCUCUGCACUUGAUGGGAUUUCAGAGAUCGAAGAGGCAAGCUCAAAAAUUGGAGAAGCAUCUGAUUUUCCAGACGUGUCAGCAUUUGUCACAUGCAGAGUCAGCUUUGCCGAAUUCAAAGGCAGUUUGUCGAAGCGCUUUUCCAGACAUGUCAGCAUCUGUCACAUGCAGAGUCAGCUUUGCAGAAAUCACAGGCAUUUUGUCGAAGCUCCGAUUCCAGAUAUCGAAGAGGCACUUGUUUUUCCAGAAUUGUCAGCACCUGUCACAUGCACACUCAGCCUUGCGGAAAUUACGGGCAAUCUGUUGAAGAUCUCUUGUGAAGUAGAAAGCAAGUGAAGUUUACUAUUAAAUCAUCCAACGGUUGCUGACAAAAGUGAAAGAAUAGUACCGGUUAUUAAUUCCUAUAAAUAUCACCCCUCACCCUCCAUUGCAAGGCAGACAUACAUAACCUUUCUUAUUCUCCGAGAAUGCCUUUCCAAGAAACCCUCUCGAGUCACUAAGUGUUCCUUAUUCCUUGGGGUACCUCUGCAAAAAAACUCAUCCAAAGCAAAAGUAUUUCAUAUCAUGAAGGUUGAAAGCAAGAGUAUCUCAUAUCAUGCUUUCUCCCUGUCCUUCUCCUUGUCGUUGUUUUGGGACAAGGAGAAAGAAAGCAAUCAGCCAGUACUUGGUAUCAAUCUUCCGAUCUGGAACCGACUACCUGGAACCCCUUCCUGAUUGCUUACCUAGCCUUGCUCUCGAGUACUCAUCUUCAUCAUUUUAUGCUUCCUCUUCAUCUACCACAUCUGCUUGGGGAACAGAUAAGGGAAGUGAAAAUGAUACCUCGAAACAUGUGGAGACAAUUUGCCAAUUCAUCCUCAGCUAGGGAUAAGGAGAAAGAAAGCAAGAAGUGGGCACUUGGAAAGGUUGAAGAAAGAAACAGACCAACACCUUUACCUCGUGCCUGCUUGCUGUGCAGAAGAAAUAAGCAGAGAAGAAUACAAACUGCACAAUCAAAUCAACCCAGCAGAAGGAGUCUGAUUUGAAACCAAGGAACUCUGAUAUUCCUCGCUCAGAAUUCCAAACCAGUUCGAGAUCAAAGCUGUGGAAAGUCAACAAGAUCAUCUAUCUCCAAAACUAGAUUUGCGUUCUUAAACUCUACUCUGUCUGUUUUUUGUUUACUUUGCUAUACUUGUCAUGUUUAUUCGUUCUUUGUUUAUUUGCUUGUUUUUGUGUGAGUUUAUGCUUGAAACAUUGAGGACAAUGUUUGAUUUAAGUGUGGGGGGGGGGGGGGGUAACCAUUGUUUUGCAUGAAAUUCGUAGGAGUUUAUCACCCAUUACUUCUAAUGUUGUUCCUUGCUGUUUUAAGUGUUUUUAAGCUGUUUUUGAGUUAUUUUGCAUGAAAUUCGUAGGAGUUUAUCACCCAUUACUUCUAGUGUUGUUCCUUGCUGUUUUAAGUGUUUUUAAGCUGUUUUGGAAUGUUUCAGUGUGUUUUGACAUAAAAAUCCGAAAAUCUCAUAAAAAUUUGAAAAAUUAUUUUGAAAAACCCAAAAACAGUUGUUUUUGUAUGUUUAUUUGUGUCUUAGGGUACCUUCCAACACAAUGAUGAGGAUUUGGUUUUUAAUUACAUGACUGUUAAAGAGAGUUAUAAACAUGGAUGAAAAUUUGAUUUACUCUUUGGUGUAUGCUUGGUUGUGGUUAUAAUUUAUGAAUUCACAUGCAAUCAUAAAGGAAAAAUCAAUUUUUGUAACAUGCUUGAAGGAAGGAACUCAAAUGAAUGCUACAACCUUGUGAGACUUGAGCCUAAACGUUUAUUUGGAGAGUUAAUAAUCUGUGCACUAUUGUUUUCUAAAGUCGUUGCAUGAUCUCAUUAUUCUUUGCUUGGUUGAUACUUAGAAGGCGUUUCAUCAUUUAGUUCCAAAUGCUAGAACUCAUGCCUAUUUCAUUCAAAGCAUGCUAUUGAUUUGCAUAACACAUAUUCAAGAUGAAGUUGUGCAGUGACCACCACAGCCAAAUUGUCAUGCCCUAUUUCAUUAUGUGUUUAAGUUUAACCCCGUUGAGCCUUUUGUAGCCUAUGUUCUUUGUUAACCCACACUAUCCUCACCUAGCCUAGAUUAGGACCAUCCAUACCCUUGUUCUUGAAGCAUAGUAAAACAUAAUUUAGAAGGAAUUCCUUUUGUUGAACUUUUGCAGAAAAACAAGUGUGGGGGAAGUGAUUCUUGUGUGUGUGUGUGUGUGCGCCAAAGUCCUUAAUAAGGCACGGAUAGAAAAGAAAAAGAAAAAAAGAAACAUUCGUGGAAAAUAGAAUGAAAAGAAGAAAAGUUGUGAAAAGAGUGAAAAAGAGUUGAAAAAUAUGUGAAAAAAAACUCUAAAGUGUUGUUUGUUGAAGAAAGGGUCCAAAACAUUGAAUUCGGCCCUAAGUGUUGCUUGAAUCUUCCCUUUGUGAAAAGUUAAUUUCUGCAUUAUUAAGUGAAUUCCAAGUGUCUAUUUCAUUACUUUGCUUGCUAUUGCUUUCAGAACGUUUGUUAUCCUUAUCCUUUCUUUGUUAGCCAUUACCCUUAAACCCCGUUACAACCCUUAACUUUAUCUUGAGUGUUAUGCGUUUCAAUAUGUGGAGUUUGGAAUUGCUUUGAGCAUAUGGUGUCACUGGUUCUUGCAUCUAAGUAGUAGCAUUCCAUUCAUGAGAUCAUAUCUAAAAUGCUCAAUAACUCCAAAAAAUUGCCCUCUUUGUUAUAUAUAUAUGUGAGUGUUCGUGUUCAUGUUUACAUAAAUCUUCUCACAUAUAACUAGUGUAGGGUGUGUAGUCAGAAAAUGUGUGUGAAAAUAGAAAGUAUCUUGUAAGGAAUUGAGUAAAUUCUCUAAGGCAUGUUACUACAUUCAAAGCAUCAUUUUAAUUGGUUAAUUGUGAACUAGUAAGUGGUGACUAUAAGUAUGUGCUCAAGUGUAAGGAUGACCAAAAUCUGUGGGAAUGAUGAUUUUUAACAUGUUAUGUUUCAUUAAAAAUCCCUAAGGCAAUUGUUGGAAGGUCUAGGUUGUGUUUUGUUUGGUUUUGUUUUGUUUGUUUUGUUUUGCUCGAGGACUAGCAAAAGCUAAGUGUGGGGGAAUUUGAUAAGAGCAUAUUUAUGAGACUUAGUUAGCUUGUUUCUUGGCAUUUAUGUUGUUAGUUCGUAGUUAUUUUAGUAUUUUAAGCUAUUUUCGUGUGUUUGUAGGUCCAAAGGGUUAAUGUGGCAAAGAAGUGCAUUUUGGAGCAUUUUUGGGCAUGGAAUGGAUAGCAUAUGCUUGGAGCAAAAGGAAUGGACAAAAUUUAAAGUUUGUGCAUCAUCCUCUCCCUAUAAAUAACCAUUUAGCACACUCAUUUCACCCAACACAUCCAUUCACCUACCACUACAUCCACUCAUUUCACCCAACACAUCCAUUCUCCAAACAUUCAUCCACUACACCCAUUACAUCCACUCCUUACCAAACAUCCACCCACUACACCCAUUACAUCCAUCCACUACACCCAUUACAUCCACUCAUUACCAAACACUCAUCCACUACACCCAUUACAUCCACUCAUUACCAAAUAUCCACCCACUACACCCAUUACAUCCACUCAUUACCAAACACUCACCCACUACACCCAUUACAUCCACUCAUUACCAAACAUUAAUCCACUACACCCAUUACAUCCACUCAUUACAACUCCAUACACUCCUCUCCCUAGCCUAUAAAUACAUCCACCCUUCACCAUAAUUUGGGGGGCCAUCAUCCAAAGACACCACAUCAUCUACACAACUCUCCACCCUUCACCAUAACUCACCUAUAUCCAUCCACCAGCAUAAGAGACCAUCCAUUCACCACUCACACCUUGGUGCCGCAUAUUUGCAAGGAAGGAGGAUUGCUUGGAGUUGUGCUAGUCAUUCAAUUUAGAUUGCUGGAGCAUUCUAGGUGUAUUUUACUUUGGUUUUCAAUGUUUAAUUUCAAUUGUUUCUGUUUAAUUGCAAGUAUGAGGAACUAAACCUCUUUUGGCUAGAGGAGAAUUCGAAACCAUGAAUAUAUUUGCAAUAUGAAUUGAUUUCUUCCAAUUGUGAUUUGAUAAGUUGUGAUUGCAAUUCAAUUAUCUAUUUUAUUCAUAACGGAUUUGUGUAUGUUUAUUAAGGAUGCAUACUUAGUUUUCAUGCAUGAAUUUGAUGCUAGGAUAUAAAUAAGUUUCACCUAAUCGUUACAAGUUUAUAUUCAUGAGUAGUGAAGGUUGUUUGUCACAAUCGCGUUAAUUGAAUUCUUGGCAAACGUAUCAUGCAUUCAUAGUUACAAUUGCCUCGUCAACGCUUAUGAUUUUCAUGGAACUUAAUGAUCUUUAAUUGUAUCUCUAUUAUGCAUUCAUAUAGGGGACUUUAGAGAAUGAUUUGGGUUGUCGCAUGCAUUCAUCCAAUUCAAUGAAUAAAGGAAAAUCUGAGGGUUAAUUUGUGCAUCACGGUUAAUCUGGGGUGUUGAGCAUCAUAGUUUAUUGAAAAGCAAUUGGAGAUUGAUUUUUAUGCAAGUGUGUCAUGUGUGGAGAAAGACCUUCUAGCUAGCCCAUCAUCCAUCCAAAACAACCAAUUUCGUGCAAAUCUGUUUAGUUCUAGUUUCUGUUUUGUUUUACUUUAUUUUCGUCCAAAACCCAUUCCCCCUUUACUUUAGUGUGUCUAAUUAGUUAGAAUCUGUUUUAGUUUGUGUUUUUAAGUGUUUUGAGUUUAAAGAGUCUAGUUAAGUGUUUUUAAGUUUCUUUUUGUAAGUCAGUUUAGUUUAGAUUAGCAAUCCCUCCUAAUCCCCGGUCCAGAACGAUCUCUACUUAUACAUAUACUACAAUUAUCAAAAGAGGGUUUAAUUUGAGUGUUUAACUCUCAUCGCAUCACAAGGAUGGAAGGUUAAAGUGAUGAAAUGAUGCAUGAAAUCUGGUAUAAUGGAGGGGACAAGAAAUGGUGCAGCAAUGAGUGCAUGGAGUGGAGGUUAAAGUGAUAAAAUGAUGCAUGAAAUCUAAUAUGAUGGAGGGAACAAGGAAUGGUGCAUCUAUGAGUGCACGGAAUGGUGUAUGAAAUGAGUGCAUGAAGGGGACAAUGAUGAUUAUGCACGGCAUGGGUUGAAAGGAGAAUGAGUGGUGCAUCAAUGAGUGCAAGGAGUGGACAAGAAUAUUAUGCACAUGGUAGACAAAGGAAAAGAAGUGGAUUGGUGCAGCAAAUGAGUGCAUGGGGGGACAUGGAUGAUGAUGCACGGCAUGGGAAAGGAAAGAUGAUGGAUGGUGCAUCACUGAGUGCAUGGAGUGGAGGUUAAAGUGAUGGAAUGAUGCAUGUAAUCUGAUAUAAUGGAGGGAACAAGGAAUGGUGCAGCAAUGAGUGCAUGGAAUGGUGAAUGAAAUGAGUGCAUGAAGUGGACAAAGAUGGUGUGCACGGCAUAGGAAAGGAAAGUGAGGGAUAACACCCCUUUGUGGCUGAGAAUAAGGCUUCUAGAAUCCUUUAUUUAGUGUCAUAAUAUCUUUGGGAACCCUCAUUGUGGCUGGAACUUAGUUGGAUUAGGAUAAAGAAAGGUUAAAUCAAAAUAAGGUAAUCUUGACUCAUGUUUCUUCUUUGGUUGCUGAGCUCUUUGUCCUCUUUAAGUUAAUUCUUCUUUCUCUUUAACACAUUCCUAGCCUCUUUAGUCUUCAAUUUCGUCCAUCCACCUUGCUCCAUGCAUGUGUUAUCCAUUACAAGCCCAAAACUACUCCAAAAUGCACCUUAUUGCUUUAUAAGGCCUAUGGAUCUACAAACACACGAAAAUAGCUUAAAAUACAUAAUUAACUAAGAAAUAACAACAUAAAUGCAAGAAAACAAGCUAAUCAAGUCGCAUAAAUAUGCUUCUAUCACUGCUGUGACACCUGAGGCUGCGAGCGCUCACACCAAGAAAAUGAAGUUUGUCUCGGUGGUCAGCCUCACAAUGAAGAAAUCCCUAACAAAACCAAGGGCAUUUUCAUUGAAGGGAUAGUAGAAGAUUGCGAUGAGGAUGGUGGUGAAGGUUAUGAUUCGCCAACUAGGUUGUUUCUUCGAAAACGACUCGAGGAAAAAUCUUGGCAAGUUAAACAGAUUUUCAGCCGAGAAGUAAAAAGCAUUCUUGAGGUAAUACAUAGUAAUGGUGACACACAUAACAAAUUGUUCAAACUAUUGGUUAGUAAAUGAUGCGUAAAUUAACUUAACACACAAAUUAAACCCUCUUGUUGAUAAUUGUAGUAUGGAUAAGUAGGGAUCGUUCUGGACCGGGGAUUAGGAGGGAUUGCUAAUUUACUCUAAACUGAAUUAGAAACACAAAAAUAAACUUAAAAACACUUAACAAGACUCACAAGACUCAGAACAAACUUAAAAGACUCAAAACUGCCUAAAAACAACACUAAGGCAGUUUCUGCUACUAACACAAGUUUUGGACGAAAAUUGAUUAUAUCUUGACUCAAAACACUUAGAAACACAAUCUAAAACAAGUUCUAACUAAUAUGACUCAAUAAAGUAAACUCAGGGUUGGUUUUGGACGAAAAUAAGUAAAGCAAAACAAAAACAAUUUAAACAGAUUCUUAGACAAAUUUAGGUGAAUUGAUGGGUGAUCGGUUAACUAGGGAGUUAUUCUCCACACAUGACACACUUGCAUUCAAAUUGAUUUCCAAUUGCUUCUCUCAAUAAGUCAUGAAACUCAAUACUCCAGGUUAACUGUGACAGCACUUUUUUAACCUUCAAGUUCUCCUUAAGUUAAUGAAUUGGAUGGGAAAGCACAUACAACAACUCAAAGCAUUCUCUAAAAGUCCCCUAUGUGAAAAGCAUAAUAAAGGUACAAUCAAAGAUCAUUAAGUUUCAUGAAAACUAUAAGCAUUGACGAGGCAAUUGUUACUAUGAAAAGCAUGAAACUUUUGCCAAGAAUUCACUUAACACGAUCGUUUAUAAGCGACCUCCACUACUUGCAAAUAUAAGUUUGUAACUAUUAGGUGAAACUCCCUUAUAUUUUAGCUUCAAAUCCUUGCAUGAAAACUAAGUGUGCACUCUUAAUAAACAUACAAGAAUAAGUUAUCAAUCAAACGGUUAAGCAAAUUGAAUUCACAACUUAUGAAAUAACAACUGAAGGUAAUCAAUUCAUAAUGCAAAUAUAAUCAUGGUUUUGAAUAGCCCCCUAGCCAAGAAGGGCUUAGUUCCUCAUAAAUGCAAAACAAAGAUACAUAAAUUUAGACAUUGAAAACAAAGAAUGAAAACACCUAGAAAUGCUCCAACAAUCCAACGUCUUGAAUGGCAAGCAUGUCCAAGGGUCUCCUUCCUUCUUCUUUGCUGCGGCAUAAGGGAUGGUUGAAGGUUUUUGUGAUGAUUUGUGGUGGUGGAUGGAUAUAGGUUGGUUAUGGUGAAGGGUGGAGUCCUCAGAAUGGUCAGAAAGGGGUCUUAUUUAUAGGGAAAGGAAGGGCUACGAAUUUAUUAGAUUUGGAAUCCGAAAUCAAUGGAAAAUAGGCAAGAAAGGUGCAGGAAUUAAAGAGAAUAGGAAAGGGAAAUUCGGCAGAAAUUGUAGGACAAAUUUAGGAAUGUGUUUUGAGGCACAAAAUAGGUAAGAAUCCUCUCCCCUUGUUCAGCAAGAAUUGAAACAAAAUGGAAUGUAAUUUUGGGUCAGAAAUAGGUAAGAAAGAAUCAGAAAUUAAAGAGAAAUAGGUAACAAAGAUGUGGCACAAUAUAGGAAAGGUACUUAAGGUCAGAAAUUAAAAGGGAAAGAGGAUGUAUGGUGCGGCAAGGGACAAGGGAGAAAGGGAAAGGUGUUUUUGGUUCAGAAAUUAGGGAAACAUGGCAAGGGAAAUUGUUGCACAAGAGGAGACAAGGAUGAAGCACAAAGGGGACAAGGCGCCACCUUUGUAGGAGAUGCUGAAAUUAUGUCUUCUAAGCUUCCAAACUGACUUCUAACAUCCUUUAGGCCUUCAAUUUCGUCAAUCAAUAUUACUCCAAGCAUGAGAUAUUCAAUUCAUGCCCAAAACUGCUCCAAAAGGCUCCAAAUUGCAUCUUUUUGCAUACUUUGUCCUUAGAACCUGAAAUUGCACGAAAAUGACUUUAAACACUAAAAUAACUAAGGAAAACAACAUAAAUGCCAAGAAACAAGCUAACUAAGUCACAUAAAUAUGCUCCUAUCAAAUUCCCCCACACUUAGCUUUUGCUAGUCCUCGAGCAAAACAAAACAAAACAAAACCUAGACCUUCCAACAAUUGUCUUAGGGAUUUCCAAUGAACAUGACAUGCCAAAGAUCAUUACUUACAUAGAUUUUAGUCAUCCUUACCCUCAAGCACAUACUUAAUCAUAGUCACCAUUUACUUGUUCGCAUUUAAUCAAUUAAAACAACAUUUUGAAUGUAGUAACAUGCCUUAGAGAAUUCCCUCAAUUCCUUACUAGAUAUGCACUCAAUUUUCACUCAGAUUUUCUGACUACACACCUUACACUAGGUAUAUGUGAGAAGAUUGAUGUAAACAUGAAAACUAGUACUCACAUAUGUUAUAGCAAAGAAAGCACUUUUCUGGACUUAUUAAUGCAUGUAUAUAUAUGAUCUAAUGGACGGAAUGCCACUACUUAGACGCGAGAACCACUGAUAUCAUAUGCUCAUACCAAUUCCAAACUCCACAUAUUGAAAUACACAACACUCAAGAUGGAAGUCAAGGGUUGUAACGGGGCUAAGGGCGUUGGCUAACAAAGAAAGAUAAGGAUAAACAAAGGUUCUUUAAAGAAAUAGUAAGCAAACUAAUGAAAUUGACACUUAGAAUUCACUUCUGAAUGCAAAAAUCAACUUUUAAACACAAGGGAAGAUUUAUGCAACACUUAGGGCCAAAUUCAAACUUUUGGACCCUUUCUUCAACAACCAACACAUGUGAGUUCAUUCUCACUUAUUUUUCAGCUCUUUUUCAUUCUUUUCACACCCUUUUCUUUUUCUUUUUCUUUUUCCACGAAUUUUUUUUUAUUUUUUUUAUGCCCUUUUCUUUCUUUUGGCACACAAAACACACUUUGAAAACCCUUCCCCCACACUUGUUUUUCUGCAAAAAUCAAAAGGAAUUCCCUUUAAGUCAUGCUUCACUAUUCUUUAAGAACAAGGGUGUGGACAGUUCUAAUCUAGGCUAGGUAGGGAUAAUGUGGUUAACAAAGAAAAUAGGCUAACGAAGGAUCAAAGGGGGUUAAACCUACAAAACAUAUGACAAAAGGGAUAGGCUUUUUGGCUUUGGUGGUAACUAAACAACUUCAUCUUGAAUAUGUGUUAUGCACUCAAUAUCAUGCUUUGAAUGGAACGGGCAUGAGUUCUAGUAUUUGGAUCUAUAAUGAUGAAACGCAUUCUAAGUAGCAACCAAGCAAAGAAUGAAGAGAUCAUGGAACGACUUUAGAAAACAAGAAUGCACAGAUUAAUAACUCUCCAAAUAACGUUUAGGCUCAAGUCUCACAAGGAUGUAGCGUUAGUUUGAGUUCCUUCCUUCAAGCAUGUUACAAAAACUGAUUUUUUUCCUUUUGUGAUUAUAUGUGAAUUCGUAAACUAUAACUACAACCAAGCAUAAACCACAGAGCAUAUCAAACUUACAUCCAUGUUUAUAACUUUCUUUAACAGUCAUGCAAUUAAAAACCAAAUCCUCAUCAUUGUGUUGGAAGGUACCCUAAGACACAAACACACAAAAACGAUUCAAAAACAACUAUUUUUGGCUUUUUCAAAACAAUUUUUCAAAAUUUUAUCGAAUUUUCGGAUUUUUACUUCAACACACACCAAAACAGCUCAAAAUGCACUAAAAACACUUAAAAACAGUGAGAAACAACUUUAGAGGGGAUAGGUAAUACAACCCACGAAUUUGCAUCAAAAAUACUUUGUUAUCCCCCCACACUUAAAUCAAACUUGUCCUCAAUGUUUUAAGCAUAAACUCACAGAAAGCAACCAAACAAAAAAAAACAACUAAGCUUGAUAAAAUAAAGGCAGCAAAGAUAAAAAAAAACAUAUGAUGAUACUUUACGGACAUUUCACAACUAAUCUAGUUUAAUUGUUUGUUUGGCCGUCUCAUAUAAAUGUUUAUACGCUUAAACGAUAAGUCCAAGGAAAUAUGAUUGGGAGAAUGAUCUAAAGAAGUUACAUUCAUGAGACCAUUCUUCGUAAACACAUCCUAAAUUCCUGAUCAUAGGAUUGCCAAUUGGAUCAUUGAGGAUUGUGCAGAUCUGUUAAAAGAGUCGUGUUGACUUCUUCUCAAAAGAGUGACUAGUCGUGUCAUUGGUCUUGACCUCAAGGACAAGUGGGUCUCGAGUCAUUGGUCUGAAUCAAGACAAGCAUGUAGCUCAAUAAUGAAUGAGUCCACUGAACAUGAUCAACGAGAGAGUCUCUCAUACUCAUGUCACAUGAGAACUCAUGGUUCGAAUAAUGCAAAGUAGUCCUUUGACCUGAGGCAUCAUAGUUGUCUUGUGAUUAAGUCCUUGAUCUUUGAUUAUGUCAAAGUCACUCCAUCAGGAGGGUGUCCACGGCAUCGUCGGGGUUAAGCCACUUAGCCAUGGAGGCAAGUGAAUGCACAACAAGGGAUCUCUAACCUUCAAACCGUUUGAGGGAGAAUACUCUAUGAUAUGAUUAAGAAUCUCUGGCCAGAG
RNAcentral lists this long non-coding RNA (26209 nucleotides) under Malus domestica (apple). Its description in RNAcentral is "long non-coding RNA (MDOM_LNC015600)". Lineage: Eukaryota; Viridiplantae; Streptophyta; Magnoliopsida; Rosales; Rosaceae. The record is from RNAcentral.